Molecule: ribosomal RNA, 891 nt
Filed under: uncultured eukaryote
Lineage: Eukaryota
Description: bacterial SSU rRNA
Rfam family: Eukaryotic small subunit ribosomal RNA
Source: RNAcentral
CUGGUUGAUCCUGCCAGUAGCAUAUGCUUGACUUGGAGAUUAAGCCAUGCAUGUCUAAGUAUAAGCGUACUUAUUGCGAAACUGCGAAUGGCUCAUUAAAACAGUUAUAGUUUAUUUGAUGAAUUCCUUACAUGGAUAACCAUGGGAAACUGUGGCUAAUACAUGCACAAAGCUGGACCUAGUUCAGUCGUAUUUAUUAGUUUCAGAUCAAUAGCUUCUGCUAUUUUGAGGAAUUAUAAUAACUUAACAGAGCACAAUAGUGCCGCAUCAUUCAAGUUUCUGCCCUAUCAGCUUACGAUGGUAGUGUAUUGGACUACCAUGGCAGUCACGGGUAACGGAGAAUUGGGGUUCGAUUCCGGAGAGGGAGCCUGAGAAACGGCUACCAUUUCUAAGGAAGGCAGCAGGCGCGUAAAUUACCCAAUCCUAAUUCAGGGAGGUAGUUAAUAGAAAUAACAUACUCGGGCUUUUAGCUUUGAGAGUGUAAUGAAUUUAGUCUAAAAACUUUUAUGAAACCUAUUGGAGGGCAAGUCUGGUGCCAGCAGCCGCGGUAAUUCCAGCUCCAAUAGCGUAUAUUAAUGUUGUUGCAGUUAAAAAGCUCGUAGUUGAAUUUAGGAGUGUAUGCUCCUGUCUGCUCUCUCUAGUGCAACCGAUGUCUGCAUUAGAGACCAGACUUUUACCGUGAGAAAACUAAAGUGCUCAGAGCAGGCUAACGCUUGAAUAUUAAAGCAUGGAAUAAUAAAAUAGGACUUUAUUCUAUUAUUGGUCAUAGGAUAGAGUAAUGAUUAACAGAAACAGUUGGGGGCAUUCGUAUUUAAUUGUCAGAGGUGAAAUUCUUGGAUUAAUUAAAGACGAACUAGUGCGAAAGCAUUUGCCAGGGAUGUUUUCAUUAAU